AAGGGUACAAAUAGGGUUUCUGACAGUGAGGUCUGAGCAUUUCUCCAGGCUCGCUUCCUGCCUAUCGCUGCUGCUGUGUCAGUUUUGGACAAUGGUGAUUCUGUUCGCAUUUCGUGGUGGAUUCCCGACGCAUCCAGAGCUCCGAAGAACAGGAUAUUUUGACACAGUUCACACAUCAAAGAUAAGCAUUAAUGCCUCAUUACGUCUCCAAAAUGCAGCAUGACAGCAGCAAAGGGCUGAUAUGAAUAAGCGGCAAUGCUGUCAGCAGGAGGGAGACUUAUUGAAGAUAUCAUCACUGCAUGCUAUCAGAUAUUAUGUGUAAAAAUGGCCAUACAACACACAGAGUCCACUUUGGCAGUGCCAAGUACUGCUUGGCAUGGAUCUGCAGCAAAGCCCUGCCCUGCUGAAGCCCGAGAUGUGACGCACAACACUGUUUGGGGUUUCAGAGGGAUCUCUGACCCCAGUUGAAUGUGCUCAGAUUUGGAUGAAGGUACUUAUCUGAAGCCUGCAUGUAUUGAAGAAUUCCAGAGAUAAGUUCCUCUUCCUGCCUGGCUGAUACGCAUCUCCUGUGGCACAGCUAGAGAGCAAUAUUCAUUAAAGUGGGGCUUCACAAUAUCCCCAUCUCAGUGCAAUAGAGCAAAAGCUGCUUGAGAUGACGUGACUGCAUGUUCUGCUCACGGCGAGAUGCUUUCCUUUCAGAUGUUUUUAUCAGCACUUGCUAUUGAAACAGCACCUGAUGGCAUCUGAAUACUCUCUCCCUGUAAAUACCAGUGAAUGACAAACUGUUCAGCAGCAGAGAACUGGGGGGGGCACUGCCCACAUCAGCACUUUGGGCAGGGAUCCACCUGCCUGCAGCAUAUGGCACAGCUUCUUCCCAAGAUUGAUGGCUUGAAAGGGGCAGUGGGGCCACAAGGAAGAGUUGCUGUGCUGCAGAUGCAGUCCUUGGGCAGGUUGGAUGGGUGCAAGAUCAGAUGUUCCUCUCAUGCAUCACAGGCACUAUCACCUCAAGCUCCUCUGCUAAGACCUUGCAGAAUUCAACUGAUUCCUGGAUUCCAGCUCAGAAAGAAGGCAAGAACUGAAUAAAAGUCUUUUUGUGGGUUGUUUGUGUGUGUGUGUUUUGUUUGCUUCUUUGUUAAUUUAGCACAAAUCAUCACUUGCAUGAGCACAAGCUUAGCAUACACAUCUUCUGGCAAUGCUCCUCCUCCUGCACAUGGAGCUCCUCAGCCGCCCGCAGCGGGACGUUGUGAAUCUCAAGCACCAAUCAGAAAGAUCACAGAAUCAUAGAAUCACAGAAUGGCCAGGGUUGGAAGAGACCUCAAGGAUCAUGAA
This 1329-nucleotide long non-coding RNA is filed under the name Meleagris gallopavo (turkey). Its description in RNAcentral is "lncRNA (ENSMGAG00000020290.1)". The record is from RNAcentral. Lineage: Eukaryota; Metazoa; Chordata; Aves; Galliformes; Phasianidae.